CAUUCCCAGUAUUGGAGGCAUUGCCUGCCCAGUGACAACUGUUUAACGGCCGCGGUAUCCUGACCGUGCAAAGGUAGCAUAAUCAUUUGUUCUCUAAAUAAGGACUUGUAUGAAUGGCCGCACGAGGGUUUUACUGUCUCUUACUUCCAAUCAGUGAAAUUGACCUUCCCGUGAAGAGGCGGGAAUGCACAAAUAAGACGAGAAGACCCUAUGGAGCUUUAACUAACCAACCCAAAGAGAAUAAAUUUAACCAUUAAGGAGUAACAACAAUCUCCAUGAGUUGGUAGUUUCGGUUGGGGUGACCUCGGAGAAUAAAAAACCCUCCGAGCGAUUUUAAAGACUAGACCCACAAGUCAAAUCACUCUAUCGCUCAUUGAUCCAAAAACUUGAUCAACGGAACAAGUUACCCUAGGGAUAACAGCGCAAUCCUAUUCAAGAGUCCAUAUCGACAAUAGGGUUUACGACCUCGAUGUUGGAUCAGGACAUCCUGAUGGUGCAACCGCUAUCAAAGGUUCGUUU
RNAcentral lists this ribosomal RNA (519 nucleotides) under Bos taurus (domestic cattle). RNAcentral's name for it is "partial 16S ribosomal RNA". It matches the Rfam family "Bacterial large subunit ribosomal RNA", at positions 1835 to 2578 of the family's 2925-position model. The record is from RNAcentral. Lineage: Eukaryota; Metazoa; Chordata; Mammalia; Artiodactyla; Bovidae.